Molecule: ribosomal RNA, 568 nt
Filed under: uncultured bacterium
Lineage: Bacteria
Description: bacterial SSU rRNA
Rfam family: Bacterial small subunit ribosomal RNA
Source: RNAcentral
CCUACGGGAGGCAGCAGUGGGGAAUAUUGCACAAUGGGCGAAAGCCUGAUGCAGCGACGCCGCGUGAGGGAUGACGGCCUUCGGGUUGUAAACCUCUUUCAGCAGGGAAGAAGCGAAAGUGACGGUACCUGCAGAAGAAGCGCCGGCUAACUACGUGCCAGCAGCCGCGGUAAUACGUAGGGCGCAAGCGUUGUCCGGAAUUAUUGGGCGUAAAGAGCUCGUAGGCGGCUUGUCACGUCGGAUGUGAAAGCCCGGGGCUUAACCCCGGGUCUGCAUUCGAUACGGGCUAGCUAGAGUGUGGUAGGGGAGAUCGGAAUUCCUGGUGUAGCGGUGAAAUGCGCAGAUAUCAGGAGGAACACCGGUGGCGAAGGCGGAUCUCUGGGCCAUUACUGACGCUGAGGAGCGAAAGCGUGGGGAGCGAACAGGAUUAGAUACCCUGGUAGUCCACGCCGUAAACGUUGGGAACUAGGUGUUGGCGACAUUCCACGUCGUCGGUGCCGCAGCUAACGCAUUAAGUUCCCCGCCUGGGGAGUACGGCCGCAAGGCUAAAACUCAAAGAGAAUUGACG